UACGUAGGGUGCGAGCGUUGCCCGGAUUUAUUGGGCGUAAAGGGCGCGCAGGCGGCUACGCACGUCCGUUGUGAAAUCGCUCGGCUCAACUGGGCGGGGUCAGCGGAUACGGCGUAGCUGGAGCAAGCUAGGGGGCAAUGGAAUUCCCGGUGUAGUGGUGGAAUGCGUAGAGAUCAGGCAGAACACCUGGGGCGAAGGCGGCCAGCUGGGCCGUCCCUGACGCUGAGGCGCGAAGGCGUGGGGAGCGAACGGG
This 253-nucleotide ribosomal RNA is filed under the name uncultured bacterium. RNAcentral's name for it is "partial 16S ribosomal RNA". It matches the Rfam family "Bacterial small subunit ribosomal RNA", at positions 524 to 776 of the family's 1533-position model. The record is from RNAcentral.